Molecule: unclassified non-coding RNA, 1065 nt
Filed under: Leishmania donovani
Lineage: Eukaryota; Euglenozoa; Kinetoplastea; Trypanosomatida; Trypanosomatidae
Description: gene:LdHU3.29.0010(CDS-product:32-trans-enoyl-CoA _isomerase_mitochondrial_precursor-like_protein)
Source: RNAcentral
AACUUGCCUGCGGUGUGCCGUUGCCGGGUUUCACUAAACGAGCAUGAGGUGUUUUCGUGCUUCCUGCUGCGCGCCGCCGCCGAGGUCGCGUGCAUGCUCGACGGUAGCAAGCGUGCCAGAUACCAGCGAUCUCAUCAUUGUGCGUGAGUCGCCAAUUGACAACGUGGUGCUUCUCGAGAUGAACAGCGGGCGCGCCAACGUUCUGACGCCCAAGUUCAUUUCAGCGUUCCUGAACAAGCUUAGCGACCUGUGCGACCCAGAUAAGUCCAGGUGCAGCGGUAUUAUCCUCACAUCCAAGAACCCCGGUGUCUUCAGCGCCGGACUUGACCUCAACGAACUCAAUACGAACCUCUCGCAGGAUCGAUUUGCGCACUACUGGAGCCAGUUCCAGAAGCUCUUCACUACUUUGCACGCGCUGCCGGUACCACUGGUGAGCGCCAUUAACGGGCAUGCUGCGGCAGCCGGCUGCAUCGUUGCCCUCGCGUGCGACUACCGCGUCAUGGCAAGGCGACAUCCUACAAAGCCCGCCCACUUGACUAUUGGCAUUGCCGCUGCUAAGCACGGUUUUGUUGUGCCGUCUUACGUGGCUGCCUCGAUGGAGCACGUCGUGGGAUUUCGCAAAGCUGAGGAACUGCUCUGUACGGGCUUACUGCUGCCCGCCGACGAGGCCUUGCAGGUGGGACUUGUAGACGAGGUCGUGGAGCACCACGACGAGGCUGUUGUGCCGUGUCUGCAGUUCAUGGAGAAGCUGCUGGAGCUCCCCUCCCCCGCACCAUACUGGAUGAUCAAGGAUAUGUCACGUCGCCACAUCCUUGCCCCGCUGUGCACUCCGGCACUUCGAACGCAGGACACGGUCAGCUUCUACAACCUCUUCAGCAACCCGCAGGUGAAGAAGAAGUUAGCGGAACAUGCACAGAAGUUCGCUAAGAAGUAGGUAACACCACCUCCCUGUCACAAUCUUCUUUCUCGCGGCAAUGGCCAAUCAAGCGUGAAUGAUGUAGGCGAACAUAUCACACCUGCACGAGAACCCCCCAUUUGAGAGUUCGCAUCCUAAGCUCUCGCAAG